GAUGAACGCUGGCGGCGUGCUUAACACAUGCAAGUCGAACGAUGAAGCCCAGCUUGCUGGGUGGAUUAGUGGCGAACGGGUGAGUAACACGUGAGUAACCUGCCCUUGACUCUGGGAUAAGCCCGGGAAACUGGGUCUAAUACCGGAUAGGAGCGCCUGUCGCAUGACGGGUGUUGGAAAGAUUUUUCGGUCAUGGAUGGACUCGCGGCCUAUCAGCUUGUUGGUGAGGUAAUGGCUCACCAAGGCGACGACGGGUAGCCGGCCUGAGAGGGUGACCGGCCACACUGGGACUGAGACACGGCCCAGACUCCUACGGGAGGCAGCAGUGGGGAAUAUUGCACAAUGGGCGGAAGCCUGAUGCAGCGACGCCGCGUGAGGGAUGACGGGCCUUCGGGUUGUAAACCUUCUUCCAGUAAGGGAAGAAAGCGAAAAGUGACGGACCUGCAG
RNAcentral lists this ribosomal RNA (447 nucleotides) under Micrococcus sp. oral taxon F54. RNAcentral describes it as "bacterial SSU rRNA". It matches the Rfam family "Bacterial small subunit ribosomal RNA", at positions 28 to 483 of the family's 1533-position model. The record is from RNAcentral. Lineage: Bacteria; Bacillati; Actinomycetota; Actinomycetes; Micrococcales; Micrococcaceae.